UACGGGGGGGGCAAGCGUUGUUCGGAAUUACUGGGCGUAAAGGGCUCGUAGGUGGCCAACUAAGUCAGACGUGAAAUCCCUCGGCUUAACCGGGGAACUGCGUCUGAUACUGGAUGGCUAGAGUUUGGGAGAGGGAUGCGGAAUUCCAGGUGUAGCGGUGAAAUGCGUAGAUAUCGUAAGGAAGACCAGUGGCGAAGGCGGGUCUCUGGACAGUUCCUGACGCUGAGGCACGAAGGUCAGGGGAGCAAACGGG
This 253-nucleotide ribosomal RNA is filed under the name uncultured bacterium. RNAcentral describes it as "partial 16S ribosomal RNA". It matches the Rfam family "Bacterial small subunit ribosomal RNA", at positions 524 to 776 of the family's 1533-position model. The record is from RNAcentral.